UUUGUUUUGGAUCACAUUGUACAUUUUCGUGCUCAAAUAGAAAAUCCGGAAAGAAAAAAUAGAUUACUGAGUCGCCUUCUUUGUGAAAUGACUUUAAAGAUGGGUUGGUCCGAAGCUUGCACGAGAAAAUUUGAAUUUGACAUGUCAGCUAACUCUAGUGGGUUGGCUUCGAAUCUUUGCUUAGCAGUGAAACGUUACUUUGGAUUUCAGUCCUCCGAUUGAUAUCUCUCCAACAUGUGCUUCAAGUUUAUCUCUUUGCUUUUGGGCUGAAACCUAGGAACGUUUUCCUUGCCUUGUAAGUUAAUGUUUUCGAUUAAAAAAAUCAAGUCCAUGUUUUAUUGGCUCUGUGGGUAUGAGUAUGAAUAUAUACCUAAACAUGCAACCAAACGAAAGUGAAUCUGUUCUCAUCCAUAACCUGCGAAAAAUGAAGGACCAACUUGGAUUCAGAAUCGUGCUCUGUUCUGCGAUUUUCAUAAUUCUGACACAAAACAGAGCUCUCGCAGACUUGGACAGCGAGUCCCACGGGUACUAACAUUACGAUCAUUCAAAAACUUGGUCUCGGAAUCAUUUACUUCUAGGGAAGAAUGACAGAUUGAAGCUGAUUUUGCAGGGUUAACUCAGAAUCAGUAGGAGAAGAAGAAUGGGAGAUGGUGCAGAGGAAAGGGAUGCAAUUCACCCUAAAUGGACAACCAUUCUAUGUGAAUGGCUUCAACACGUACUGGAUGAUGACUCUUGCAGCUGACAAUUCCACGAGAGGCAAAGUGACGGAAGUGUUCCAACAAGCCUCUGCGGUUGGAAUGACAGUAGGCAGGACAUGGGCUUUCAACGACGGCCAAUGGAGAGCUCUCCAGAAAUCUCCCUCUGUUUACGAUGAAGAGGUCUUCAAGGUAUAUCUCUACGCCUAAAGCUUCUUCCUUCAAGACUCUUUUCUAUUUAAAGGGUUGAGCAAUUGGGCAGGCCCUCGACUUCGUGGUGAGCGAGGCCAGAAAGUACAAGAUCAGGCUUAUACUGUCAUUGGUCAACAACUGGGACGCCUAUGGCGGCAAAGCUCAGUACGUUAAAUGGGGCAACGCCUCCGGCCUUAAUCUCACCUCCGACGACGACUUCUUCACCAACCCCACCCUCAGAAACUUCUACCAAUCCCAUGUCCGGGUGAUUAUUCCAUCCAUCUCAGCAAACAUUCAUUGCUUAUUUAUCGGAAAAGCACAAGUUUUUACCCAUCAGGGAAAAAUUGUAACUUCAAUGUCGUUGCAUUGCAGACAGUGCUGAAUAGAGUCAACACCUUCACAAACAUAACUUACAAGAAAGACCCCACCAUCUUCGCCUGGGAACUCAUGAAUGAGCCUCGUUGCCCCUCUGAUCCCUCCGGUGACAAACUCCAGUCUUGGAUACAAGAAAUGGCGGUGUUUGUGAAGAGCUUAGACGCUAAACAUUUGGUGGAGAUCGGACUUGAAGGCUUCUAUGGUCCCUCUGCCCCUGUGAGAACCAGAUUCAAUCCCAACCCCUACGCUGCACAAGUCGGAACUGACUUCAUCAGAAAUAAUCAGGUUCUUGGCAUCGAUUUUGCUUCGGUUCACGUCUAUCCAGAUUCCUGGUAAGUUUUUGAUGCAAAAUACCAAGAAACAGACACUGCCCUGAAUCUGAAAACAGAGAACAGCUGAAAAAUGCAGUAAAUAAUUGUUAACUGUAGGAUAUCUCCGGCAGUAUCAAAUUCUUUCCUGGAAUUCACUAGCUCUUGGAUGCAAGCUCAUGUGGAGGACGCAGAGAUGUACUUGGGAAUGCCGGUUCUGUUCACAGAGUUUGGUGUGUCUGCACAUGACCCUGGUUUCAACACGUCUUUCCGUGACAUGAUGUUGAAUACGGUGUACAAGAUGACCCUCAACUCAACAAGGAAAGGAGGGGCUGGUGCCGGGAGUCUGGUCUGGCAGGUCUUCCCUCAAGGGGCAGAGUUCAUGGAUGACGGCUAUGCGGUUUACCUCACAAGAGCUCACACCGCUUCAAAAAUCAUAUCUCUGCAGUCGAAGCGACUAGCCAUCUUCAACUC
This 2044-nucleotide long non-coding RNA is filed under the name Arabidopsis lyrata. RNAcentral describes it as "long non-coding RNA (ALYR_LNC001130)". Lineage: Eukaryota; Viridiplantae; Streptophyta; Magnoliopsida; Brassicales; Brassicaceae. The record is from RNAcentral.